UACGGAAUGUGCAAACGUUAUUCGGAAUCACUGGGCUUAAAGAGUCCGUAGGCGGCUUGUUAGGUGAGGUGUGAAAUCCCUCGGCUCAACCGAGGAAUUGCGCUUCAAACCGGCAAGCUAGAGGAGGAUAGAGGUGGGCGGAACUGAUGGUGGAGCGGUGAAAUGCGUUGAUAUCAUCAGGAACACCGGAGGCGAAGGCGGUCCACUGGGUCCUAUCUGACGCUGAGGGACGAAAGCUAGGGGAGCGAACGGG
Molecule: ribosomal RNA, 253 nt
Filed under: uncultured prokaryote
Description: partial 16S ribosomal RNA
Rfam family: Bacterial small subunit ribosomal RNA
Source: RNAcentral